This 21-nucleotide unclassified non-coding RNA is filed under the name Mus musculus (house mouse). Its description in RNAcentral is "oocyte_clustered_small_RNA8950". Lineage: Eukaryota; Metazoa; Chordata; Mammalia; Rodentia; Muridae. The record is from RNAcentral.
AGGAAUACUGCUUGGGAGCUG